This is a small nucleolar RNA of Caenorhabditis elegans, 79 nucleotides long. NCBI's taxonomy places the organism in Eukaryota, Metazoa, Nematoda, Chromadorea, Rhabditida, Rhabditidae. The record is from Ensembl.
GGUUGGCUGUGACGAUUACUAUUCCCAACGCUUGGAAUGAACCAAAGUGAUUAUUAACCAAUCCUUUUCUGAGCCAAUC